Molecule: ribosomal RNA, 122 nt
Filed under: Laribacter hongkongensis
Lineage: Bacteria; Pseudomonadati; Pseudomonadota; Betaproteobacteria; Neisseriales; Aquaspirillaceae
Description: partial 23S ribosomal RNA
Rfam family: Bacterial large subunit ribosomal RNA
Source: RNAcentral
ACUUCCCUGGAGACUUGAUCUCCCUGAAGGGCCGUGGAAGACCACCACGUUGAUAGGUCGGGUGUGGAAGCGCAGUAAUGCGUUAAGCUAACCGAUACUAAUUACCCGUGAGGCUUGAUCCU